GUCGCCUUUGAUUUUUCCGUAUAUCUUGUUCAUCCAUUUUAUCCGGUACGCUUCCGUUAGGUGUCCGUUUUCUGCGGUACUCGUUCGUUGGAUGUACGUUGUCCGGUACGUUUCCGUUUCUCGUACGUUGCAUAUCCGUUGUGUGUCCGUUAUGCAUCCGUUACGCGUCCGUUUUAUUCGGUUAGUACAUCAACAGACUCCCAACGGAUAAUAAUUU
Molecule: long non-coding RNA, 217 nt
Filed under: Mytilus galloprovincialis (Mediterranean mussel)
Lineage: Eukaryota; Metazoa; Mollusca; Bivalvia; Mytilida; Mytilidae
Source: RNAcentral